AAGGACGUACGGGAAAAGUGCCAAGAGCUGGCAGGCUGUCCUGCAAAGGGAACCGUCAGCAAAAUGAACUGAAGGGAAAAGACAGAUGGGAAGAGCA
Vicugna pacos (alpaca) is the source of this 97-nucleotide non-coding RNA. Lineage: Eukaryota; Metazoa; Chordata; Mammalia; Artiodactyla; Camelidae. The record is from RefSeq and is a predicted model, not a curated record.